This 464-nucleotide ribosomal RNA is filed under the name Vreelandella stevensii. RNAcentral describes it as "partial 16S ribosomal RNA". It matches the Rfam family "Bacterial small subunit ribosomal RNA", at positions 338 to 795 of the family's 1533-position model. Lineage: Bacteria; Pseudomonadati; Pseudomonadota; Gammaproteobacteria; Oceanospirillales; Halomonadaceae. The record is from RNAcentral.
CCUACGGGGGCUGCAGUGGGGAAUAUUGGACAAUGGGCGAAAGCCUGAUCCAGCCAUGCCGCGUGUGUGAAGAAGGCCUUCGGGUUGUAAAGCACUUUCGGUGGGGAAGAAAGCCUUGGGGCUAAUACCCUCGAGGAAGGACAUCACCCACAGAAGAAGCACCGGCUAACUCCGUGCCAGCAGCCGCGGUAAUACGGAGGGUGCGAGCGUUAAUCGGAAUUACUGGGCGUAAAGCGCGCGUAGGCGGUCUGAUAAGCCGGUUGUGAAAGCCCCGGGCUCAACCUGGGAACGGCAUCCGGAACUGUCAGGCUAGAGUGCAGGAGAGGAAGGUAGAAUUCCCGGUGUAGCGGUGAAAUGCGUAGAGAUCGGGAGGAAUACCAGUGGCGAAGGCGGCCUUCUGGACUGACACUGACGCUGAGGUGCGAAAGCGUGGGUAGCAAACAGGAUUAGAUACCCUUGUAGUC